GAUGAACGCUAGCUACAGGCUUAACACAUGCAAGUCGAGGGGUAACGAGAGGAAAGCUUGCUUUCCUUGUCGACGACCGGCGCACGGGUGAGUAACGCGUAUCCAACCUGCCCCCAACUAAGGAAUAACCUUGCGAAAGUAAGACUAAUACCUUAUAAUUUCCUCAGAUGUCAUCUGACGAGGAAUAAAGAUUUAUCGGUUGUGGAUGGGGAUGCGUCUGAUUAGCUUGUUGGCGGGGUAACGGCCCACCAAGGCAACGAUCAGUAGGGGUUAUGAGAGGAAGGUGCCCCACAGUGGGACUGAGACACGGUCCAAACUCCUACGGGAGGCAGCAGUGAGGAAUAUUAGUCAAUGGGCGGAAGCCUGAACCAGCCAAGUAGCGUGCAGGAUGACGGCCCUAUGGGUUGUAAACUGCUUUUAUACAGGAAUAAAGUUAGCCACGUGUGGUUAUUUGUAGGUACUGUAUGAAUAGGGACCGGCUAAUUCCGUGCCAGCCGCCGCGGUAA
RNAcentral lists this ribosomal RNA (506 nucleotides) under uncultured bacterium. Its description in RNAcentral is "partial 16S ribosomal RNA". It matches the Rfam family "Bacterial small subunit ribosomal RNA", at positions 28 to 523 of the family's 1533-position model. The record is from RNAcentral.